Megalopta genalis is the source of this 1863-nucleotide non-coding RNA. The record is from RefSeq and is a predicted model, not a curated record. Lineage: Eukaryota; Metazoa; Arthropoda; Insecta; Hymenoptera; Halictidae.
AAAACCGUCUCAUUGCCGUACAGUGGCCGCGUCGACGAAGAUGAACCGGCAGAUCCGCUUUCCGUUCGUUGCCUUGUUGUUCGUUUUUGAUCGCGAGUGGCUGUUUGGCACCCACGGAACAAACCAAGGAUCGAGACCGUCCUUAUAGUUCAUAAUUUUCGCACAUUAUUGAAUUACUGGAUCGCUCGUGUGCCGAAGGAAACGCAUAUGUCGACUCUGUUUCCGUAGAACUCUUCCGGUGUGCAGAAAAACGUAAUCUUCGAACGGCCAAUCGUAGAGUAGAAUUUAGAGAACAUUUCUGCCGGCUUCGCAAAGAUUGCAGUUUCCAACAAGAAUUUGGCGAAAGAUUCGCCGUCGACCAGCGAGGAUGCAAUAAAAAACGGGUUCUCCGUUUAAGAGGGGAUCCUCGAGAAGAUCAGAGUUCGUGUUCGUUUGCCGCCUAACGGAAAGAUGAAGCGCGCGGUGUUUUCUAUAACAACUGUUCUCAUUCUUCUGGCGGUUUGUUCGACGUCGUUGUGCGUCGAGCAACAUAUACUCGACAUAAUCCGACCACCUCUUCGCCCUUGUCCACCAGGACAGAAACAAAUUUCUCCGAACGAGUGUCGACCGAUUCUACAUAUUCCUUUUAAUGACAAGGGAAGAAGGACCUGACCGGAACUUUCCGAGGAUAGCCUAGGGAAAAUAAUCGCCAAAUGUCAUUUUUUAUCGAUCAUUUAAACAAUUCCAAAUGGACCGUUCGUUUCAUUCGAAAUUGCAUCGUAGAAAUAAGAGUAUGCGUAAACACAUUUUUGAAUACUAAAACGCCAAGAAAAUAGCCCCGACUAUUUUCUCUGAUUUUUUAGUCGGCCCGCGAGGCUUUUCUAAUCAGUUUAUUAUAAUCAUGCGAUCGAAGCUGCAUCGUGCGAAUAAAAGAUGCGAACAUUUCUUGGAACUGAAAAAUAUUUGUGCAAAGGAAAAAUCGGCUACCGAGAAGAAGUCUGCUUUAAAUAUUGUUCUUCGAUUCUCCGAGGACAAUUUCAACGCUGUCCCGAGAAACACUGCUGCAGCAACGCGAUCGAAAUUGCAUCAUGCAAAUAAAGGAGACGCAUAAUAAGCGCAUUGUACGAAAGCGAAGCACGCCAUUCGGCGAAAAUCGAGCGUUGAAAUCGAAAAGUGGCGGAAUAGUAUAAACAAAAGCCGAUCCGAUAUCGGAAUAGUUUAGUCCGAACUAAUUAAAGCCAGUGUAUUCUGUCGUCCUAUUAACACAGCGAAGCUCCGGUAAUUUAACUUUGUUCCUUUACCAGCACGAAACAAAGUUCGAUUAAAUUUCAUAUUACGGAUCUCUUUAAUAAGGAUUAAAACCUGCUGAAAAUCGCGAGGGCCGGGGCAUUCGUUUGUUUUAAUUGGACAUCGUUCCAUGAAAGUGUAAUUAGCGAUUAAGACAGGCGAUUUUUCAUACUCCGUGCCGCGCGGCCCGAAUUCAAAUAUUUUAAGACAGCGACGACGUUCGAAUCGGAAUGCUUCGGGACAGGAAGUCGGAUUUCCACAAUUUUUUAAUUGGACCGACUGCGCUAAUUAUUCUUAUCAUUCUCAUGCGGAACAAUUCCGCGGACUCAUUCAAAUACGAUAACAUUAUCUUCGGUAACAAUAUAGACAUUUCUUAAUUCGAGGAUCCGAUCGGAGAGCGUCGAACAUACGAUGUACCAGGGAAUUUGUAAAAAUUAUGCUACCACGCGUUGGCGCGAAUAAUUAAAUCGUUUUAACUUUCUGCUAAUAAAUUCUUUCAAACUGUUUACAUUUUUUCGAUCGAUACUGCACAUCGAAAGCGUAAAUACCGAAAAGUACCAUUUUAAAUCGUAGACGAUGAAUAAAUAUUUAAUUUCA